Peromyscus californicus insignis is the source of this 1211-nucleotide long non-coding RNA. RefSeq lists it as uncharacterized. The record is from RefSeq and is a predicted model, not a curated record. The transcript is spliced from 2 exons. NCBI's taxonomy places the organism in Eukaryota, Metazoa, Chordata, Mammalia, Rodentia, Cricetidae.
UGCCCGCUGGUCCUCAGCACCCGCGGCCUCCCCGCCGCUGGCUCCCGCCCUGCCCACGCUCAGAUGUUUGGGGACUGUGGUCCCCCUGGGGUGGCAGGACGCACUUCCGGGGACGCGGAGCCCUUAUCAGCGGAUUAAUUCGCUAACAAUGGAUCGCUCCCUCGCGGCCCGUCCUCCGUCAGCCGCCCUCCGCUUCCCCGUCACCCGUUUCCUUUCUUGCCAUCUUUUUCUAAUUCUUCUCCCAGCUGCCGCCCGGCCUCUUGCAAAUGGCUCUUUAAACGUGGAGGCCCAGCCUGGCGCGGUGGCACCCGCCCGUCAGCUCGGCCCUUGGGGCGCCGGGGCCGGAGGAUGGCCGGGAGUUCUAGGCCAGCUUGGGCUGCAGGAGUGAGAACUUACAUCCAAGGAGGGAGAGAGGGGCGAGUCGUGGUGGGGAGCCCGCCGAGGACGCUGGGGUUCGGGUGACCCUUGGCUAGGCAGAAGAAGCGCCCCGGGCUGCGUGUGCGCACAAGGGUCUCAUGUAGCCCAGGCUGGCCUCCGAUUCCCUCUCUAGUCAAGGAUGGGCCUUGAACGGAUUUGUCUGUCUUCUCGGAGGCUGAGGGGAGAGAGGACGGGCACGCGCCGCCUCGCCUGCUGUAUUUAAUGCUGGCCAUGGAACCCGGGGCUUCGUGCAUGCUGGACAAGCUCUACAGCAGCCGGGCUUCUGUGGUUUCUCCCGCUUCUAAGGGGAAGAUCCCAGGAAAGCCCACAAGUGUGAGACCUUGGUAACGGGUCCUCAUGGCAACGUGAGGAAUGAAACCAAGAUUUCAGCUUUUCUCAGAGACAGCUGGGGAGCCUCGUCUCCUCCACAAUUCAUUUAAUAUAUAUAUAUAUAUAUAUAUAUUUUUUUUUUAUUUUGCCUCCGCCUAGCAAGAAGGGAGUCCCGCCCGGGAACCCCCAGAACAGCCGUGCGUCAGGCCCGGACCUGGGGUGUUCUGUGCACCCUCGUAACUCUAAAAACUCAAGAAAAUCAGGAGACUCAGUCACCCCGUGUGCAAAUCCAGGGGUCUAAGCAGAUUCCACCCUAAAAUCGAGGAUACCCUUACAGGGUACAGCCGUAGACUGGGGACGGCUGCCCUCUGCUGGACACAAUGGGGACUGCAGGGCGAUGGGCGAAGCGGGUGGGCAGCAGGCGUCCGGGCUCGCACAAUAAAUAAAUACAGGUGAGAUUUAAA